RNAcentral lists this ribosomal RNA (491 nucleotides) under uncultured bacterium. RNAcentral describes it as "partial 16S ribosomal RNA". It matches the Rfam family "Bacterial small subunit ribosomal RNA", at positions 29 to 506 of the family's 1533-position model. The record is from RNAcentral.
AGUGAACGCUGGCGGUAGGCCUAACACAUGCAAGUCGAACGGCAGCACAGUAAGAGCUUGCUCUUACGGGUGGCGAGUGGCGGACGGGUGAGGAAUACAUCGGAAUCUACUUUUUCGUGGGGGAUAACGUAGGGAAACUUACGCUAAUACCGCAUACGACCUACGGGUGAAAGCAGGGGAUCUUCGGACCUUGCGCGAUUGAAUGAGCCGAUGUCGGAUUAGCUAGUUGGCGGGGUAAAGGCCCACCAAGGCGACGAUCCGUAGCUGGUCUGAGAGGAUGAUCAGCCCACUGGGAACGGAGAACCGGUCCAACCCCCUACGGGAGGCAGCAGUGGGGAAUUUUGGAAAAUGGGCGCAAGCCUGAUCCAGCCAAACCGGGGGGGGGAAGAAGGCCUUCGGGUUGUAAAGCCCUUUUGUUGGGAAAAAAAAGCAGCAGGUUAAUCCCCCGCUGUUCUGACGGUACCCAAAGAAAAAGCACCGGCUAGCUUCGU